Molecule: long non-coding RNA, 1708 nt
Organism: Dromaius novaehollandiae (emu)
Lineage: Eukaryota; Metazoa; Chordata; Aves; Casuariiformes; Dromaiidae
Source: Ensembl
UGUUCGCGAACAACAGCAAAAAAAAUCCCAAAUAAUGGUGAAAUGGAUCACACCAGCACGGGCGGAGAAUUUGGAAAGGAGCUAGUUCAGAAAUUAUCAGCUGCAACAGCGCCCAAAAACUUCUUCCCCAUCCCAACACCCCUGGAGAAAUGCAUGCAGAACCUGACGCGUCAGAAGGAAGGGCGAGCUGGAGAGGGGAAACCUUCUGCUAGCCAGAAGGGUUGCUUCUAGGAAGGAGCUCAGCGACUUCCAAGAAAAAAGACCCCAGACGUGGAAAUGGCUCUCAUAAAGCCCAUGUCGUAUGGCUUGUCGCGUAGAAGUAAACGCUGCACUGGACACCUACGGCUCCCGAAAUCACCGGAUCCUGCUCCCACUGCAGAAACCUAAGGAGUUUGCAUGGUGGGAAGCGCCGUUUACUUGUUUGUUUGCUUGUUUGUUCUAUUUAUAGACAUUUCUGCCGAGCUCAUCCCCGGAGCAUCUGCAUGCCCACUGGAGUGAGAUCUGAUUUCCGAGGCAAGCUCCAUCCUUAUUCAGCCGCAGCAUUUUGGAAAAGUCUGCUAAAGAAAGAGUGAACGCGAUCCAUGCCGUGCGCAGCCUUCGGUGCUCCUGCUAGGGACUCGAGUGUGGUUUUCUUUCCCCCACUACGCUUUCACAUAGCAACGCGAAACAAUUAAACUGGCCUGAAAGCCACCCGAGGCUGCAGUGACGAACUGAAAUGCUCUGUGUUUGUCAAAGGGUUUCAGAAAACAGGUGAAGAAUUAAGAUAGGAAUUAAUGCCCUGCUUAUCGCAUGUAAAUGAAAUAUUUAAUCUGCCAUUUCAUCUCUUAUGUGUGCUCGAACACCUCCAAAAGUUCUUUGAACAAAUAUUUAGUUUCCAAGCUAUAAAUUCGUCUUAUGCAAAGAGAAGGCUUUUAGGAUCUCCAGUUUAAACUCGUUCUUACUGCUUGUUGUGGUGCUGAGAAUUAUCCAGCCGGUCAGCUUACCUUUCCCAGGAGUGGUAAUUAAAAGAGAACUUGGGAAGGGGGGAUAAAAGGAAGAAUAAUAGCAUUCAGAAAAAUGGAAGCUCACCAGUUGUGACUAGCAUCCUUGCUAGUUCAUUUAUUUCUUCACUUAACUCCUGUUCUUCUCUCCAAUACCCCUACAGCUGCUCUGUUUUUAGAGCAACUCUGCAGCAUUUUGAGAGCCUUUAAAAAUGUCACUCUGAGAAAGAAAAAUAGAGAAGUUCAAUUAUUAAGGACUGAAACUGCUCAGGUAUUCCCUAGUCUGGCAGAGGAGUUGUCUAAAACGAGAGCUGCUUCAUCAUAUUCUCUCCUGAGAUUCAAGGAGAGCACUUGGGGAUUGACUCGUCUUUUUGCACACUGGGCUGAGAUGAGAUGGGGUGGGAAAGGGAGAGGCAAAGGAGGAUCCUUCUGAAAAACUUCUCUGGAGGUAAGGUCUCCCUUCUUCCAGGGAGGAAGAAGCUGGCCGUGGUGACAUGGAGUUAGUGGCAUCUGACAGGCAGGUGGGGGCCCAUUGCCAGGCUUUAGGUGGGGGGUAAAGGGGGCAGCAGGAGCCUUUCCCAGUGGCCCUACGCUACUUAGACAGCAUUUAUGGAUGGAUAAAGCUGAACAUUGGACAGGACACCCUUAAGGAAAAGAACCUUUCAGUGGAGCCAUCAACCUGUCAUCACUGCAAUAAAGGUGUAACACACAAGAGUGCUGGUAAGAGC